CGUCAGGGUUUUGGAUCAUGGCGCGUGCGAUUGAUUUCGCUGCGCUGAAAUGCAACAAGCUGGAUCUCUAGGUCGUGCGGCUUGACCCGUUGUUGUAAUACUUUAAACCAAUGGGAACGCAUGAGAAAGGGAAGGGGCUUUUGAAAACCGUACAAGUGCAUUUUGACCUCAAUUCAAGCAGGACUACCCGCUGAACUUAA
Molecule: unclassified non-coding RNA, 200 nt
Filed under: soil metagenome
Description: partial contains internal transcribed spacer 2 and large subunit ribosomal RNA
Source: RNAcentral